UUGGAGGGCAAGUCUGGUGCCAGCACCCGCGGUAAUUCCAGCACCAAUAGCGUAUAUUAAUGUUGUUGCAGUUAAAAAGCUCGUAGUUGAACUUCAGGCUUGGUCGGGCGGUCCGCCUCACGGUGUGUACUGUCUGACUGAGUCUUACCUCUUGGUGGACCGGCGCGCCCUUUAUUGGUGUGCGUUGGGGAGCCAGGACUGUUACCUUGAGAAAAUUAGAGUGUUUAAAGCAGGC
This 235-nucleotide ribosomal RNA is filed under the name uncultured Glomus. Its description in RNAcentral is "partial small subunit ribosomal RNA". It matches the Rfam family "Eukaryotic small subunit ribosomal RNA", at positions 548 to 785 of the family's 1831-position model. Lineage: Eukaryota; Fungi; Glomeromycota; Glomeromycetes; Glomerales; Glomeraceae. The record is from RNAcentral.